UUGAUCUAUCUCCACCUGCCUGAGUCCUAAAGCCUAGGGCAGAGCUUCUGGGGAUUGGUGAGGUCAUUAGUGACAUCAGUGGUGGGAGGUGGAGCUAAGGGAAAAGUGUUAUAGGCCAGCUUCCCUCUUCAUCUUAUGAGGUUAGUGCUUGACUCUUCUGUGGGUUAGGCUGGUAUCAGCUUGGUGUAGUUGUUCAGCAGGAGAGGGUCUUUGGAGAGAGAUGCCUCCAUCGGACAGAGAUAAUCGUGGAAGGCUUGGGGAAAGACGGAUUGUUGGAGUCAUGAGAAUGUCUGAACGAGAAGGCGGAGGAGACUUCCUGGAGGAGGUGGACUUUGAGCAGCACUGGGGGGAGGUAAGAGCAAUCUCCAGCCAGCCCCGAUUCACCCACAGAGCCAUCCCAUCCUGCAGCAGCUUCACGUCAGCCUCAGUGCCAAGCCCAAAGACAAACGGGCCUGCAAUGAGCAACCCAUCAAUAUCCUUUAAAGUCCCAUUUUUGGGGAGCAGACGCAGCCCAUUCUCAUAUUUCAUCAUCCUCAGCCCGGGGAUAGACGGCAAUUUUCACGUUGAUGUGGGCCAGCUCAGCAGAUGGACUGUGUUUUAUUUCUCCUGGAUUUGGCUGCGGGACACAAACGAUGUUUCAGGUCACUGACUGUUCACGAGGCCAGAAGCCCCAGAAGAAGAGAUUUUUGGAAGGAGGAAACCAGAAAACCUGGUCUUACUGGGGCCAGUGAAAGGGGGGUGGGCUGGAGGUUUGGGACAUCUCUCUGCCUCCCCUUUGGCCCCCAAGGCCCGGGGGUCCCAGCCCACCUGCUCACUAAGACUCUAUCACCCUCUCCCCAGGGCAGCUCUCUUGCAUACCCAAGGAAAGAUUUCAUAUAAUAAUAAUUGUGGUACUUAUUCAGUACUUACUGCGUGCCGCUGUACUAGGAAGACACGUUCUGUGCCAGCAAGGAGCUUACCGUCUAGAUUAAAGCUCACUUUCAGUCAGUCAGUCAAUUGUAUUUAUCGA
RNAcentral lists this long non-coding RNA (1009 nucleotides) under Ornithorhynchus anatinus (platypus). RNAcentral's name for it is "lncRNA (ENSOANG00000041541.1)". Lineage: Eukaryota; Metazoa; Chordata; Mammalia; Monotremata; Ornithorhynchidae. The record is from RNAcentral.